CGCCUAAACUCGUUGGAUUUUCCACCGGGCAUGGCGCCAAAGACCCUUCACAGAUACUGAACCCCGCGUUCAGCGACUCUGUGAAGGGCUAUAUCGGGAAACCGGUAUGGGGCCGCAAGGCCU
This 123-nucleotide small RNA is filed under the name unclassified sequences. RNAcentral's name for it is "LOOT RNA". It matches the Rfam family "LOOT RNA". Rfam says of the family: Latescibacteria, OD1/Parcubacteria, OP11, TM7. Lineage (Microgenomates, aka OP11) The record is from Rfam by way of RNAcentral.